This 1351-nucleotide ribosomal RNA is filed under the name Betaproteobacteria bacterium. RNAcentral describes it as "partial 23S ribosomal RNA". It matches the Rfam family "Bacterial large subunit ribosomal RNA", at positions 78 to 1421 of the family's 2925-position model. Lineage: Bacteria; Pseudomonadati; Pseudomonadota; Betaproteobacteria. The record is from RNAcentral.
CCGGGGAGCCGCACACAGGCGCUUGGACCCGGGAAUUUCCUAAUGGGGUAACCCGAUCGGGGGAAUGCCUGAUCACUCCGGCCUGAAUUCAUAGGGCCGGCAGAGCGACACCCGCUGAAGUGAAACAUCUCAGUAAGCGGAGGAAGAGAAAACGAGCGUGAUUCCGUAAGUAGUGGCGAGCGAAAACGGAAAAGCCCAAACCGGGGAGCUUGCUCCCCGGGGUUGUAGGGCCACAAUGUGGGACUUUAACGGUUAGGAGAAGCGGAUGGAAAGCCGCUCCCAAGAGGGUGAGAGACCCGUAUCCGAAAACCGAAAGAGCCCUAGUGGUACCCUGAGUAACGCGAUGCACGUGAAACUUCGCGUGAACCCGUCCCGACCACGGGAUAAGGCUAAAUACAAUCUGGUGACCGAUAGUGGACAAGUACCGCGAGGGAAAGGUGAAAAGAACCGCUGUGAGCGGAGUGAAACAGAACCUGCAACCGUGUGCCGACAAGGUGUCAGAGCCCCGCAAGGGGUGAUGGCGUGCCUUUUGCUUAAUGAGUCUGCGAGUUAUUGUCUGUGGCGUGCCGAAGGGCUUCUGGUCCAGAGGCGGAGCGAAAGCGAGUCCGAAAUGGGCGAACAUAGUCGCAGGCAGUAGACCCGAAGCGGAGGUGAUCUACCCAUGGCCAGGAUGAAGUCCCAGUAAAAUGGGAUGGAGGUCCGAACUGGUGAGCGUUGAAAAGCUCUCGGAUGAACUGUGGGUAGGAGCGAAAGACUAAUCAAACCCCGUGAUAGCUGGUUCUCCCCGAAAUAGCUUGAGGGCUAGCCUGGCGUGCUGACCCAUGGAGGUAGAGCACUGGAUGGACGAGGGCCCAUACCCGGGUACCGAAUCCAAUCAAACUCCGAAUGCCAUGGGGCGCAGCGCCGGAGUCAGACGGCGGGGGAUAAGCUUCGUCGUCGAGAGGGAAACAGCCCAGACCGUCAGCUAAGGUGCCUAACGACCGCUCAGUGGAAAGGAUGUGGGAUUUCUUAGACAGUGAGGAUGUUGGCUUAGAGGCAGCCAUCAUUUAAACAAAGCGUAACAGCUGACUCAUCGAGAGAUCCCGCGCCGAAAAUGAUUGGCGAUCAAGCGGUCGACCGAAGCUACGGAUGAAAUACCGGUUCGCCGGAAUUUCGUGGUAGGGGAGCGUUCUGUACGCAUCGAAGCGGAAGGGAAACUGACCGUGGAGUGUACGGAAGUGAGAAUGCAGACAUGAGUAGCGAUCAUCCCGGUGAAAUUCCGGGACGCCGUAAACCCAAGGUUUCCUGGGGAAGGUUCGUCCUCCCAGGGUUAGUCGGGUCCUAAGUCGAGGCCGCACGGCGUAGACGAUGG